GAUGAACGCUGGCGGCGUGCUUAACACAUGCAAGUCGAGCGGGCAAUUUAUCUAGCACUGAUUACUUCAAAUGGAAAUCAUAAGUGUAAUCAUGAAUUUCUACCUUUAAUAAAGAAAAAGAAAUUCAUGUACGCAAAUAGUGAUAACACAUUUUAGUGGAGUGAUGAGUGCUGGAUAAAUUGCUAGCGGCGGACGGGUGCGUAACACGUGGGUAACCUGCCCCUAUCACUGGGAUAACACACUGAAAAGUGUGCUAAUACCAGAUAACAUAAGCUUUUGGCAUCAUUAGCUUAUCAAAGAAUUUCGGAUAGGGAUGGGCCCGGUCUGAUUAGCUAGUUGGUGAGGUAACGGCUCACCAAGGCAACGAUCAGUAGCCGACCUGAGAGGGUGAUCGGCCACACUGGAACUGAGACACGGUCCAGACUCCUACGGGAGGCAGCAGUGGGGAAUAUUGCACAAUGGGCG
RNAcentral lists this ribosomal RNA (465 nucleotides) under uncultured bacterium. RNAcentral describes it as "bacterial SSU rRNA". It matches the Rfam family "Bacterial small subunit ribosomal RNA", at positions 28 to 377 of the family's 1533-position model. The record is from RNAcentral.